Molecule: microRNA precursor, 66 nt
Filed under: Eisenia fetida (common brandling worm)
Lineage: Eukaryota; Metazoa; Annelida; Clitellata; Crassiclitellata; Lumbricidae
Description: Efe-Mir-2691-P1_pre stem-loop
Source: RNAcentral
CGGCGGUGACAUUGUGCAAAGCCUUGUACUCUUGAAAAGCAGGUUUUGCAAUGUUUCACGGUCGGU